UGGGGAAUAUUGGACAAUGGGCGAAAGCCUGAUCCAGCCAUGCCGCGUGUGUGAAGAAGGUCUUCGGAUUGUAAAGCACUUUAGGUUGGGAGGAAGGGUUGUAGAUUAAUACUCUGCAAUCUUGACGUUACCGACAGAAUAAGCACCGGCUAACUCUGUGCCAGCAGCCGCGGUAAUACAGAGGGUGCAAGCGUUAAUCGGAAUUACUGGGCGUAAAGCGCGCGUAGGUGGUUUGUUAAGUUGGAUGUGAAAUCCCCGGGCUCAACCUGGGAACUGCAUCCAAAACUGGCAAGCUAGAGUAUGGUAGAGGGUGGUGGAAUUUCCUGUGUAGCGGUGAAAUGCGUAGAUAUAGGAAGGAACACCAGUGGCGAAGGCGACCACCUGGACUGAUACUGACACUGAGGUGCGAAAGCGUGGGGAGCAAACA
This 427-nucleotide ribosomal RNA is filed under the name uncultured Pseudomonas sp. Its description in RNAcentral is "bacterial SSU rRNA". It matches the Rfam family "Bacterial small subunit ribosomal RNA", at positions 355 to 774 of the family's 1533-position model. The record is from RNAcentral. Lineage: Bacteria; Pseudomonadati; Pseudomonadota; Gammaproteobacteria; Pseudomonadales; Pseudomonadaceae.